RNAcentral lists this ribosomal RNA (497 nucleotides) under uncultured bacterium. Its description in RNAcentral is "partial 16S ribosomal RNA". It matches the Rfam family "Bacterial small subunit ribosomal RNA", at positions 28 to 507 of the family's 1533-position model. The record is from RNAcentral.
GAUGAACGCUGGCGGCGUGCCUAACACAUGCAAGUCGAGCGAACAGACGAGGAGUUUGCUCCGUUGUCGUUAGCGGCGGACGGGUGAGUAACACGAGUAUAACCUACCUAUAAGACUGGGAUAAUUUCGGGAAACCGGAGAUUACACCGGAUAAUAUAUUGAACCGUAGGGUUCAUUGGAGAUUGUCGGUUCUGCUGUCACUUAUAGAUGGUUCCGGGCCGGAUUGGCUAGUUGGUACGGUAACGGCUUACCAAGGCGAGGAUGCGUAGCCGACCUGAGAGGGUGAUCGGCCACACUGGAACUGAGACACGGUCCAGACUCCUACGGGAGGCAGCAGUAGGGAAUCUUCGGCAAAGGGCGAAAGCCUGACGGAGCAACGCCGCGUGUGUGAUGAAGGUCUUCGGAUCGUAAAACUCUGUUAUUAGGGAAGAACAGAUGUGUAAGUAACUAUGCACGUCUUGACGGUACCUAAUCAGAAAGCAACGGCUAACUACGUG